UACAGGAUCUCAUUUAAGGUUCCCGAUAUUGGAGAUAGAACAUCUACAGGAUCUCAUUUAAGGUUCCCGAUAUUGGAGAUAGAACAUCUACAGGAUCUCAUUUAAGGUUCCCGAUAUUGGAGAUAGAACAUCUACAGGAUCUCAUUUAAGGAUCCCGAUAUUGGAGACAGAACAUCUACAGGUUCUAGUGCUUGUUGUCUGCUGUUAGCUUGUGCCUCAUUUAUGGGGUUUUCUUUGCUCCUUG
Molecule: long non-coding RNA, 244 nt
Organism: Brienomyrus brachyistius
Lineage: Eukaryota; Metazoa; Chordata; Actinopteri; Osteoglossiformes; Mormyridae
Exons: 3
Source: RefSeq, a predicted model, not a curated record